UGAUUAGUACGAAAAGUUAUUUUAUUUAGUUUAUUUAUCCAGCAAGCCCAUGUGGUUUGUGUGUUUUGUCUGUUUGGAUUCCACGCUUGACAUUUUCCGCCAGUGCUCUUAUCAGAGAACAGCACACACAUGGACCCAAAUGCGCUCCUAAUUAAGGCUUGCUUCAAAAAUCCAGGUCACGUGUAUUUGCUUGCCUGAUUAUAGUUUGUUUUUUCUGUUUUUCUGUUCUGUGGCGGCGUCAGCUGCAUUCAACUAAUCAGAUUCUUUUCAUGCCCCGGCUGAUAAGAGGGUCUGUCCCCCGGGUCUCCCUUAUCGCUGCACUUUGUAUCUGGCAGACACAAAGCCCAAACAAAAGUGAAAUGAUAAGCAAGGGCAACUGCAAAAUGCAGCAACCAGUAGUAGGGUAGCAGCAGAAGACUCAAAAUGUGGCAACUGGCAGUGUCUAACUGGCAGCUCGCUAAUCCGCCUCCGACAGACAGCUUUUCAGCAAAAAAGAGUGAAAUUUCAGUUUCGGUUCAGGCAACUGUCAAGGUUGAACAGGAAGGCCGCUUGUCCAGCUUUGACAAAAUAAGCUUCUAAAAUUUCGAAAAAAAAAAUCUGGGAAAAUGAUAAACCAUAAAAGAUUAAAUUUUAAGUAGAAAAACUAUAAGAAAACAUUGUAAAUUAUUCAAAGAAUAAAACUGUCCAUAAUAUAAGACAUUUUAUGAUAAUAAAAAUAAACUUUAACCCCAAAAA
Molecule: long non-coding RNA, 735 nt
Organism: Drosophila ananassae
Lineage: Eukaryota; Metazoa; Arthropoda; Insecta; Diptera; Drosophilidae
Exons: 2
Source: RefSeq, a predicted model, not a curated record